This is an RNA transcript of Nomascus leucogenys (northern white-cheeked gibbon), 966 nucleotides long. It is a transcript of the gene named ADP-ribosylation factor 1 pseudogene, with no coding region annotated. The record is from RefSeq and is a predicted model, not a curated record. The transcript has a single exon. Lineage: Eukaryota; Metazoa; Chordata; Mammalia; Primates; Hylobatidae.
UGGUUUCUAAGCAAUUAAAAUGGUAAUUGGGGUGGCUCUGAAAUUAGGUAGGCAGAAAAUGCCUGUCUGAGAAGGUGACAUUUAAGCUGCUGUCUGAAGAACAAGAAAGAGCCAGCCCUGGUGGGAGCAAAACCAGUACCUGGCUCGGAGCAGCAGCCACUGAGGUACCCCUCCCAGCGUCCUUCCACCUGUCCACAAGCAUGGGGAACAUAACAUCUUUGCCAACCUCUUCAAGGGCCUUUUUGACAGAAAAGAAAUGUGCAUCCUCAUGGUGGGCCUGGAUGCUGCAGGGAAGACCACAGUCCAGUACAAGCUUAAGCUGGGGGAAAUGGUGACCACCAUUCCCACCAUAGGCUUCAACGUAGAAACCAUGGAGUACAAGAAUAUUAGCUUCACUGUGUGGGGCGUGGGCGGCCCGGACAAGAUCCGGCCUCUGUGGCGCCACUACUUCCAGAAGACACAGGCCUGAUUUUCGUAGUGGACAGCACUGACAGAGGGCGUAUGAUUGAGGCCUGGGAGGAGUUCAUGAGGAUGCUGGCCGAGGACAAGCUCUGGGAUGCUGUCCUCCUGGGGUUUGCCAACAAGCAGGACCUCUCCAACGCCAUGAAUGCAGCAGGGACCACAGACAAGCUGGGGCUGCACUCCCUUUGUCACAUGAACUGGUACAUUCAGGCCACCUGUGCCACCAGUGGUGACGGGCUCUAUCAAGGACUGGGCUGGCUGUCUAGUCCGCUCUGGAACCAGAAGUGAAGGCGACACCCCUCCCUCUCACUCCUCUUGCCCUCUGCUUUACUCUCAUGGCAAACACGUGGCUCCGGUGUGAGUGCAGAAGCUGCCUCCGUGGUUCGGUCACCGUGUGCAUCACACCGUGCUGUAAGUGUGGCACAUGCAGCCUGCAGCCAGGCUUUUUAUUCAAUGUAAAUAGUUUCUGUUUCCAAUUAGGCAGUUUCUGUUACUCCUGUGCAA